Molecule: long non-coding RNA, 2597 nt
Filed under: Acanthaster planci (crown-of-thorns starfish)
Lineage: Eukaryota; Metazoa; Echinodermata; Asteroidea; Valvatida; Acanthasteridae
Description: uncharacterized LOC110991027
Source: RNAcentral
AGACUGUUGCCUUUCGUUCUCAUCGACCGAAGCCCCGCCCAUCGAGCUCUUCCAGGCACAGCGUCCUGAAGGACAUCCCACCACCCAGGGAACGAUUGAAGAGACACCCAGCGAGAUGGAGAAAUGGGCGCUGGAGAAGGAAGUCCUUGAGCUGAGGAAGGAACUUCUUCCACUCCAAAUCAGAUUCUUCAAGAACUGGGGUCGUGUCAACCCCAAGAAGAUUAGGGAUGCUAUGGAGAGUGGGGCAUUAGACGACAUCUGAGACGUACCAGGGAAGAUGUCUUUUCUUCUUCGUUUUUUUCACUGUGUGUCUGCAUGAGCAGUGUUUUAUUAACGCGUGCAUGGCGAUUAUUUCUUAGUACAUGUAUCUACACUUUUGGCCAUUAUCUAACCGUAUAAUGAGUAAGAAAAUUUACAAUCACGACAGAGGAAAUCAAAAGUUAUUAAGCCCUUCCAACAUUGAGAACUCGUGAAAACUAUUAACAUCUUUAGCACCGCAAUAAGAUUAAGAAUGUAAAAAAAAACCGAAAAUUUAUUAAUGAAAGUCACUAAGGACAUGGGAAUUACCGGUCGUAUUAGGGUACAUGUUUUCUGGAGUCCGACUUUGUAUCGUGGAUAGUGUUGCCAUGGGUGAUCUGGUAGGUCCACUUGCACCUGGCCAAACACUUCUCAUUAAAAUGAAGACAGAAGCCAGUACUGAGGGUCUCACAUGAAUCAAUUUAAUAUUCUUUUCUACAAAUCAAAACUUGAGAGGCUGUACAAAUAAGCCAUGGAUUAGGCUCCUCCCAAUUAAAGGUACAACUCCCCAACCAAAUCUUUCUCGUCAUAUUUCCAAAAUACAGAUUUCUAAUUCUAUUUCAAUCGUCCUAAUUUUUCCCUGAGCGGUCAGGACAUAAGGAGGCGGAUCCUGUCACUUUUCCUCUCUGCACGGCAUACAAACAAAAUUGAGUCACUUUAAAACACACACGCGAGUUGCACGCGAGUGUUAUAUGAAAUCCAACAGUGAAACAAAGCAAGAAACUAACCCCAAAUUACUGUGUAAGAUAAUAUCACAUGUCCGCAGAGACUUACCAACAGCAUCUGUAUAAUGUUCCUGUACUGUAUAAUAAUAGUGCCGUGUGAGAAAUUAUUCACCAACACUGUCCAAACUGUGACAAAAUGUCAGCAACGUCUCAGCAACAUGACGACUCAUAGCAAGAAGACAGUUUCUACAGUGAAACCGGGCUACGUACCUAGCAACAAAACUCGAAGUCCUCCAAAAUAGACUUAUAGUUCAGAAGCUAAUGACGUACGUACAUCAUGCCUUUUAAAACUAUACAGACUGGUCCACUUUUAGAGGUGAUCAAAAAUACUAAUAUAGAGUAUCUGUUGAAAUAUAUGUAGACUCUCAGACUAGUUAUGCAGUAGGGCAUGGAGGGAGCACGGAGGCACCCCCCCAACUCGACGCUUGUGCCCUCGCCCCCGUGUAACCCCCCCCCCCUUUCAGAAAUGAAGGAAGGAAAGACUGGUUAUUUGGUCAGUGUUAAUGUUAUAACUGUCCGUCAUGAAUCGAAGCACUUGGUGACUAGUGCCCAUCAUGUCGGUAAUUCUAACCUAUAACAACUUUUGCAAAAUGGUAAGUGUAAACGUUUGAUCGUAGUCACACAAUUCGUGUACAUCACUAAAUUACACUUGAAACAAUCAGUCGAAAUUUACAAAGUAUUUCUGUAUAAAAUUAUCAUCUUGACCGCAUUUUCCUAAUACUUUUGUAAUAUUUCAGAAAUUGGCUUUAACCAAUCAAAUAUUACCAUUCCUUUUGUGUGAUUUUAUUCAUUGCAACGAGCUCUUUACAUUUUGAUCCUUUCGGUCUUAGUCAGCUUUCUUCUUUCAGUCUAAAGUGCUGGAGAUAAUAUUUCUCAACAAUCAAGAGACCAUGACAAGUUAGGGAUAAAAUGAAACAGGGUUCGUCGAUGAGUUUGAAAAGUCAGUAGAAUAAGAGAAGUGUUGUGGCACGUGGCUUAGGCCUUAGAACUUCGGCUGAAAAUGCCCUAAUGCUAGUACAUUAUACAUAUACCAUUGGGUUUGGGCAGAAGUGAUAUUAGUUUUGUUCAUACAGAUUACAAAUCUCCAUGAUUAGACUUUAUAACUCUCGAUACGAAAAACAACAAAGUAAGAAGUAAUACAUUGCUGUGCCUACAGUUUAUAGCUAUAGGAGGUAAGGAUUUUAUGUGCAUACGGUAUCUUUGCAUAGUCGCUGAAGAACAAAAAACGUGAUGUUCAUGUAUUGAAAUGUGUCUCUAAAUAAUAAACAUGGCACUUUUCUGCGGCGCAUGCAGUGUACAUUGUUUCGUAAAAAAUUGACACGUGAACCCGUUUACAUCGCGCAUUUCGUGUAAAAAUAAAAGUUGUUGAUGUGUAGGGUGUCAUAAUUAUGACACAUGUGUGGGGUAAAUGAUUCUUCAAUCCACAUCUUAGCUAAUUGUGUUUAGGUUGUGUUUUGCCUGUACAUGAGCUGGAACUUGUGUCAGUACUGCAGUAUACUGGGUAUUGUUUUACCCUUUGCAUACCAAAUAUGAAGCAUGCCAGAGGCAAAAAAUAAAUACAAAAGAAAAACUAAA